This 231-nucleotide ribosomal RNA is filed under the name Clostridioides difficile. RNAcentral describes it as "partial 23S ribosomal RNA". It matches the Rfam family "Bacterial large subunit ribosomal RNA", at positions 1224 to 1455 of the family's 2925-position model. The record is from RNAcentral. Lineage: Bacteria; Bacillati; Bacillota; Clostridia; Peptostreptococcales; Peptostreptococcaceae.
AUGGGUAGGGGAGCUUCCCAUACGGGUUGAAGCAUGACCGUAAGGACAUGUGGACAGUAUGGGAGUGAGAAGGUUGGCAUGAGUAGCGAGAUGUGGGUGAGAAUCCCACAGGCCGUAAACCCAAGGUGUCCAGGGGAAGGUUCGUCCGCCCUGGGUUAGUCGGGACCUAAGCUGAGGCCGAAAGGCGUAGGUGAUGGACAACAGGUUGAUAUUCCUGUACUACCGAUAACC